Long non-coding RNA from Pelmatolapia mariae (spotted tilapia), 336 nucleotides. RefSeq lists it as uncharacterized. The transcript has 4 exons. The record is from RefSeq and is a predicted model, not a curated record. Lineage: Eukaryota; Metazoa; Chordata; Actinopteri; Cichliformes; Cichlidae.
UUAUUUGGCAGCAUCUGGGAGCGAGCAGACAGAUGGGAAGAUACUCCUUAUUGAAUCUUUGCAUAAGCUUCAUUUAAGAAAAAUAGAACUAGGGUGGGGAAAAACAUUGCAUUUUAUUCAAUAUAUACUGGAAGAAAAAAAAAGAUCAGCACUAGGUGUCACCCAACUUCCCUGGGUAUUACAGAGAUCACCUGCAGAUUAUUUUCCUGAAGCCUCCCAUCGCUGCUGAGCAGAAGGCCUGAAGUGGAGAUGACUGGGGUGCCUUGGUGCGGGAUCUUCUGUGUGUUAUGCACCCUGAUUUGAGACUUCCAGCUGAUAGUUUGAGCCAAAAGCCAA